CACAUGCAGUCGAACGGAAUCUUUCGAGGAUUUAGUGGCGGACGGGUGAGUACGCGUGAGAAUCUGCCUUUAGGACGGGAACAACAACUGGAAACGGUUGCUANAGCCCGAUUGUUGCCCUUCGGGGUGAAAAUAUUUAUUAGCCUGAAGAUGAUCUCGCGUCAGAUUAGCUAGUUGGUUGGGUAAUGGCCGACCCAAGGCGACGAUCUGUAACUGGUCUGAGAGGAUGGCCAGUCACACUGGGACUGAGACACGGCCCAGACUCCUACGGGAGGCAGCAGUGGGGAAUUUUCCGCAAAUGGGCGAAAGCCCUGACGGAGCAAUACCGCGUGAGGGAGGAAGGCUCUUGGGUCGUAAACCUCUUUUAUCAGGGAAGAAGACAGUGACGGUACCUGAUGAAUCAGCAUCGGCUAACUCCGUGCCAGCAGCCGCGGUAAUACGGAGGAUGCAAGCGUUAUCCGGAAUUAUUGGGCGUAAAGCGUCCGCAGGUGGUUUUGAAAGUUUGCUGUCAAAGCGCGGAGCUUAACUUCGUACGGGCAGUUGAAAAACUACGAGACUAGAGUUUGGUAGGGGUCACGGGAAUUCCCAGUGUUAGCGGUGAAAUGCGUAGAGAUUGGGAAGAACACCAGCGGCGAAA
RNAcentral lists this ribosomal RNA (637 nucleotides) under uncultured bacterium. RNAcentral describes it as "bacterial SSU rRNA". It matches the Rfam family "Bacterial small subunit ribosomal RNA", at positions 52 to 720 of the family's 1533-position model. The record is from RNAcentral.